GCUACAAAUGUCUCUAAUGCUCAGUGUAGGCAUGAACGCAGUGCCUGGAGUUUGCUGUCCAAGUAAUCUUAACCCAAAUUGUAAUGUCAAAGCAAUUGUUGAACUAACUGUAACUUUAAUCCCAUAUCUAGCUUAAAUUAGAACCCUCAUGCUUCAAAAUAUCAUUGUUCUAUCCCUAGAACAAUUACUUACUGUAAUUUUCCUCUUAAUGAAUGUUUCAAGCCUGUUUAGGAAUAGACAGACGCUGUCGUAAUGGUUACAGCCCCACCCUCUCCUAAUGCCGACUGCACUGGCAACUCGGAAUGCAACUCUGAAGAUGCACUGAGACCCUGCAUAUCCAGACCCUACUCAGACACCGUAGUGCUGCUGCCCCCUCCCCUGUCUCUCCCGUUUCUCUGGCACCGUUUCCAAUCUAGGUCUGCCGUUGCAGGACUUGACAGCUGAAAGAAGGUAAGCCCUCGGACCGCUGCACGCUGGGACCAGCACGGAGCGGCUCUGGGACGGGUGCGGUCGAGCCCGUGGAUCGUGCCCACAGCUGCACUCGCCCCAGGCACUUUGCUGCGGUGCUGCUGGUGGCAGCGGGGAACUGCGGUGCUCCUGUUUGGUGCCGGAACUGCAUGGAGAUCCAUGUGGCUCCUCAUGAAGUCAGCAAGACAUGGAAAUCUGGAUUUCCUGGAAUGCCUCGGAACCCUCCUUGUCUGUCUGGUAAUUGGUCGCCCAUAGAGCUCUGCAGCUGUGGGACUCAACGGCUCAAAGAAGGCCGGCCCUCGGACCACUGCACUCCGGGACCGGCAUGGGAUGGCUGUGAUGGGUCCAGUAGAGAACAUGGAUUGUACCGAUGGGUGCACUCAGUGAGUUUUCCAGUGCUGCUGAGCACUUGGAAUUCCCUGCUUGUCCACCUGUGCCCUGAUUACCAAACUCCUUUGCGUUGUCAUGUCUCACAGCCCCAGGUGUCUUGCUGCGGUGCUACUGGUAAGAGCGAUGUGCA
RNAcentral lists this long non-coding RNA (988 nucleotides) under Numida meleagris (helmeted guineafowl). RNAcentral's name for it is "lncRNA (ENSNMEG00000002628.1)". The record is from RNAcentral. Lineage: Eukaryota; Metazoa; Chordata; Aves; Galliformes; Numididae.